GACGUAGGGGCGAGCGUUGUCCGGAUUCAUUGGUCGGUAAAGACGCGCGUAGGCGGCCCGUUAACGUCGGUUGUGAAAACCCGACGGCUCAACCUCGGGCCUGCAUCCGAUACUGGCGGGCUGGAGGCAGCUAGGGGAGAGUGGAAUACCUGGUGUAGCGGUGAAAUGCGCAGAUAUCAGGUGGAACACCGGUGGCGAAGGCGGCUCUCUGGGGCUGUUCUGACGCUGAGGCGCGAAAGCUGGGGUAGCAAACAGGAUUAGAAACCCC
Molecule: ribosomal RNA, 268 nt
Filed under: uncultured bacterium
Lineage: Bacteria
Description: partial 16S ribosomal RNA
Rfam family: Bacterial small subunit ribosomal RNA
Source: RNAcentral